CGGGGCCCGAGUCCCCGCAGCCGUUGGAGUCCUCCUGCAGGGCCUGCUUCAGGGCGCUGGUCAGGGAGCAGGGCAGGUGCCGGCGGAAGCGCUGCCCCACCCACGAGUAGAGGACCGGGUUGAGGCAGCUGUUGGCGCUGGCCAGGACGAAGGCGGGCGUGGCCAGGUCCAGCAGCCACCCGGGCUCGCGGUCGGCCAGGUUGCCGACCAGCUCCAGGAGGGUCACCAGGUGCAGGGGGAACCAGCAGCCGAAGAAGGCCGCGACCACGGCCGCGAGCACCCGGAAGGGCCGGUGGGACCGCAGGGACUGGCUCCCGGCCCUGAGGCGGGCCGCGCUGAGGCCCGAGCAGGCGCAGAUGAGGAGCAGAGGCCCCGCGAAGCCGGCCACAAAAUUGACGGCCACGUGAGCCCUGUACCUCCUCGCGGCCCGCUCGGCGCCCUCGGCCCACGGAUUGAAGUUGUUGUAACAGUAGGUGACCCCGCUCCGGGGGUGCGUGAAGGUCUGCCGGUAGGCCAGGUAGGGGCUGGAGAAGGCCGCGGCCAGGCCCCAGGCCCCGCAGGCCAUCAGCGCCAGCCGGGCCGGCGUGCGGUGGUUCCGGGCCCACAGCGGGCGCAGGAUGCAGACGCAGCGGUCGGCGGAGACCAGCGUCAGCAGGAAGACGCUGGCGAACAUGUUGAGCAUGGUGAAGACGUGGUAGAGCUUGCAGAGCGCGCGGCCGAAGGGCCAGCGGCCCGAGGCCAGAAACGCUACGUUAAUGGGCAGCAAGGCGCAGAAGGCCAGGUCGGCCACAGCCAGGUGCAGGAACCAGACUUUGGUGAUGCUCUGCGGCAUGCGGAAGCCCGUCACCCAGAUGACCAGCCCGUUGCCCGCCACCCCCAGGACGGAGAUGGCCGCAAGGAUGACCAAGAACAGGCGGUGGAGCGCCAGCCUCGCCCCGGCCGCAGGGUCUGGAGGAAGCUCCGAGGAGUUGGCUGGAGGAAGCUCCGAGGAGUUGGCUGGAGGAAGGGAGGUGGCCUCCAUGUUAUUUGUGGCUCACUUGUGGAUCGGCCAGCCGGCGUUUGUUGCCGGUGGAGGCGAGGCACGGUUCUGUAACAGAAAACCCAGAGAUAGAAAGAAGUGCUAGAGAAGAAAGAUCUAGGAACAUACUCGGCAAAGUCAUGUGGAAGUGGACCCAGAAGAAAAAGUGAGAAGCCUCAUUUGGGGCUCGGUGUGAGUCUUACCGAGUCUUGCCCGUUGAAGAUUUCCACCCACUCCCGGCUCCUGGGGACUAAGCCCAAAUCAGUCAUUUUUCUUGGGGACUGCGACAGAUCCCACGAGGCCCUCUAACAUUUCUCCCCACGUCGAGUCUACGCCCUGAAGGCUGAAAACAAACCUUUGACGCUUUUGUGUUCUCAUUUAAAGGGAGUCUGCAUGUGUGCAUGUGUAUGGUCAGUAAUUACAUACAUUUAUAUUGUAUUUUAUAGAAAAAUCAAAUAGAUACUAAAAUGAGGGGUUUUUUUCCUUUCUGGGUCCAAAUCAACUUGUAUUUGAAAUUUGUUUCUCCUUUGGGAGGUUUUCUGUUCACAUGUAAACCGUUGACCUUAGAGAGAGCAGUCUCCUUCCUAGAGAUGGAAUGGAGCCCCGGAAAGAGCCUGGAAGAUGGCAGACACAAAUCGGAGCCCUAACGUUUCUGCUGAUUGUCUGGAUGGCUUUGGGUGAGGGAUUUCUCAUCUCUGAUCUUGGGCUUCUCCAUCUGAGGGUUGGACUGGGUAAUCAGGGAAUUGGAAUCCCAGAGUAUGACCCUGGCGGAGCAGAGGUGUACCUUCCAGUUCCAUGACCAAAGCCUGUGGAUUCAGAUCUCUUUUUUUGGAGACCCCAGCUGCCAUGUUCUCCCCGCCCCUCCCUUCGCAUCUGUGCCCCAUGGCUGGCACCUGGAGCAUCCUGCCUCCCCCUCCCCAGAAUUCCCAGGGCCCCCGCUCACCCUGAAGUGCUGAUUCUACUCAGAUUGCUGAGGUCUCCUGAAGACUUUUCCUGCUGCUGCCAAAAAGAGAUGUGAACACAGGCAGGGCAGGCUCAGAUCUGAUAAAGGGACAGAAAGAGGAACUCUGACCCCAUGGUCCUGUCCUUGCUAUCUCAUGCCAUUUCCUGUGAAGAUGCUUUUUUUCCUGCAAAGAACAGACUUCAUAGGUCAGGUUUGACUACUGGAGAGAGCCUUGAACUGAGAAGAGACUCACUAUCUCCACUUUUAAUUGACUUGUCUGUUGGGACAAGUUGCUUCCUCAUUCAAAAUCAGUUCAUCAGUAAAAUGGAAAAAAAAAUCCCUAUCAUGUCUACUAUCACAGAAGGCUGUCACAAGUGUUAGCUAAGAUAACAUAUACAAUAAAGGGGUAUCAGGGUGGCAUAGUGGAUAGAAUACCUGAAAGCAGGAAAGAAAACCUGAAUUCAAACCCAAGCCUCAAACAAUGUACUGUGUGACCCUGAGUAAGUCACUUAACUUGGUUGCCUCAGUUUCCUCAUCUGUAAAAUGAGCUGGAGAAGGCAAUGGUAAACCACUCUUAGCUUUGCCAAGAAAACCCCAGAAGAGUUGGACCGGACAGAAAUGACUAAACAACAAUAGCAACAAUAUCAUAAAAUUUGAAGGAUCAAGAGCUAAAUAAAUGUUAAAUCGCCAAGUAUUAAGUGUUUACUGUGCCAGGCACUACAGGCCAGUGCUACACUGCGGGGAUAUAAAGUAAACAAAUAAACAACAAAAAAUUAAUCCUCGAACUCAAUGUGUCCACUCUAAUGUGGGAGACAACAUGAAAACAGCCAUAAACGGAUAAGAUAUAAAUGGAAUAAACUGUAGACUCUUGGAGAGAAGCAUUAAGGUUAAGAAGGAUGGGAAAGGUUUCUUGGAGCCAGUUGAACUUAAGGUGAAAUUUGAAGGGAGCAGGAAUGCCAGGGUGUGAAGAUAGAAAAGCUAAUAAAUAAAUUAAAAAACAAAAUAAAUAAAUAAUGGCAGAAAAAAUUCUAAUAUUUCUAAUUCUAAAUUCUAAUAAAGGAUAUAUGCUUAUGCCCUUGAGUGAUUUACCCCACAAAGUACCAGAGGGAAAAAUAGACCUUUAAUGAAAAAAGAGGAGUUCCGAGCAUUUCUCAUGACAAAACCAUAGCUCUAUAGAAACUUACAUUCAAAUAUGGGGAGGUGAUACAUGUGUCCUUUCUGAAUCUGAUCAUUAUCAAGGGUCAUAGAGGGAAUCUAAUUAGAAAACCUGGGAGUGAUUCUAUUAUGUCUUUGUGAGCUUAAGAGAAAAAUGGAAAGAGAAGGGGAGGGGAAUAUAUCAGAGAGAGAAGGGAAAGGAAAAUUGGGGAAAUUAUCUCAUAAUUAUGGUACACAAAGAAACAUCUAUACAAACAAGGAGGAGGAGAUGGGGGGAGCAGCUAAUUCCAUCCUCAUUCUCAUCCAAACUAGUCUAAAAAGGGAGAAAUAUAAUUGGAAACAGAAAUACAUUUUAUUCAACAGGGAAUUCAAGAAGGGAA
This is a long non-coding RNA of Sarcophilus harrisii (Tasmanian devil), 3496 nucleotides long. Lineage: Eukaryota; Metazoa; Chordata; Mammalia; Dasyuromorphia; Dasyuridae. The record is from Ensembl.